UAAUACCCGCAGCUCAAGUGAUUUGGAGUUUUAUUGGGUCUAAAGCGUUCGUAGCUGGGUCUGUAAGUUCUCUGUGAAAUCUGGCGGCUUAACCGUCAGGCGUGCAGAGGAUACUGCGGACCUUGGGACCGGAGUGGGCCAAAGGUACUCCUGGGGUAGGGGUGAAAUCCAAUAAUCCUGGGGGGACCACCUGUGGCUAAGGCGUUUGGCUAAGACGGGUCCGACAGUGAGGGACGAAAGCUAGGGGAGCGAACGGGAUUAGAUACCCCGGUAGUCCUAGCCGUAAAUGAUGCAAACUAGGUGUUGCAGUCUUUUCGUGAGGUUGCAGUGCCGAAGGGAAGCCGUUAAGUUUGCCACCUGGGAAGUACGGUCGCAAGGCUG
Molecule: ribosomal RNA, 381 nt
Filed under: uncultured archaeon
Lineage: Archaea
Description: bacterial SSU rRNA
Rfam family: Archaeal small subunit ribosomal RNA
Source: RNAcentral